GACGCGGUGGCUCAUGCCUGUAAUCCCAGCACUUGAGGCAAAGAUGGUCCGGUCCCCUGAGGUCAGGAGUUCGAGACCAGCCUGACCAACAUGGGGAAGCCCCAUCUCUACUAAAAAUACAAAAAAUUAGUCGGGCGUGGCAGCGCAUGCCUGUAAUCCCAGCUAGUCAGGAGCCCGAGGCAGGAGAAUCGCUUGAACCCGGGAGGCAGAGGUUGCAGUGAGCCAAGAUGGUGCCAUUGCACUCCAGCCUGAGCAACAGAGCGAAACUCCGUCUCAGAAAAGAAAAAAAA
RNAcentral lists this long non-coding RNA (290 nucleotides) under Homo sapiens (human). Its description in RNAcentral is "HSALNT0374692". The record is from RNAcentral. Lineage: Eukaryota; Metazoa; Chordata; Mammalia; Primates; Hominidae.